This 165-nucleotide ribosomal RNA is filed under the name uncultured bacterium. Its description in RNAcentral is "partial 16S rRNA". It matches the Rfam family "Bacterial small subunit ribosomal RNA", at positions 355 to 511 of the family's 1533-position model. The record is from RNAcentral.
UAGGGAAUCUUCGGCAAUGGACGAAGGUCUGACCGAGCAACGCCGCGUGAGUGAAGAAGGUUUUCGGAUCGUAAAACUCUGUUGGUAGAGAAGAACGUUGGUGAGAGUGGAAAGCUCAUCAAGUGACGGUAACUACCCAGAAAGGGACGGCUAACUACGUGCCAG